UCGAACGGGUGCAAGCUUCAGCUUGCUGGGUGGAUCAGAUGGCGAACGGGUGAGUAACACGCUGAGCAAUCUGCCCCUGACUCUGGGAUAAGCGCUGGAAACGGCGUCUAAUACUGGAUACGAACCGUGGAGNNAUCUUCAACGGUUGGAAAGAUUUUUUGGUCAGGGAUGAGCUCGCGGCCUAUCAGCUUGUUGGUGAGGUAAUGGCUCACCAAGGCGUCGACGGGUAGCCGGCCUGAGAGGGUGACCGGCCACACUGGGACUGAGACACGNNCNAAAUAUAUACGGGAGG
This 292-nucleotide ribosomal RNA is filed under the name Microbacterium laevaniformans. Its description in RNAcentral is "partial 16S ribosomal RNA". It matches the Rfam family "Bacterial small subunit ribosomal RNA", at positions 62 to 348 of the family's 1533-position model. The record is from RNAcentral. Lineage: Bacteria; Bacillati; Actinomycetota; Actinomycetes; Micrococcales; Microbacteriaceae.